RNAcentral lists this transfer RNA (76 nucleotides) under Betaproteobacteria bacterium RIFCSPLOWO2_02_FULL_62_79. Its description in RNAcentral is "tRNA-Thr". It matches the Rfam family "tRNA". From Rfam's summary of the family: Transfer RNA (tRNA) molecules are approximately 80 nucleotides in length. The record is from RNAcentral. Lineage: Bacteria; Pseudomonadati; Pseudomonadota; Betaproteobacteria. RNAcentral also lists the same sequence under 2 other names.
GCCGGGUUAGCUCAGCUGGUAGAGCAGCUGAUUUGUAAUCAGUUGGUCGGGGGUUCGAGUCCUCUACCCGGCACCA